GGGGCGGAGAAGCAGAGCAGGGCGGCGCGUUCAGGGGAAGAAGCGGAGCACGCUUCAGACAGAACAAGUCACAUACACAUGAAAUAUGAAAAAAUGCACUUUCAGCUCUCCAUGGUGGAGGACAAGGAAGAGAUUCAGAUAAGGCAGAGGCUUGAAUACUAGGUAAAGCCUUUCAGAUAAAUGAUCUUUCAGUUGGUGAUAAAAUGACACCCGAAGAAAGAAAUUGAAGUGAUUUGACCUAAGAACUUAUUUUUACCUUUCUCUGCUGAUGAAUCUACUCAUUGACACUUCGCUAUCUGCCUAGGGAUAGCUCAUUUGGAUAUGCAGCCAUGGCAUUUACAGACAUAAAUGUAUAACUUUGUUCAUGCAUAAGCACAUAUGAAAAUCUGUCCCACAAAGUAAAGAAAACAAAACAUUAAGGGGGACACAUUUUGAACAUGCUGUGUUCAAAAAAAGGUGUGUAAAACAGGAAAUAGGUUUAAGUCGUUUGCUAUCCAGAUCUGUACUUGCUGGUUUUAGGUGUUAAGAGCUUGGGAAUGUAUUACAAACAUUAAAUUAAUUUAAAUUAGUAGCUUGUAUCUGCUAGGCACAAUGCAGAAAAAUACUUCUGUCUCAUGGAGCUUAUAGUUCUGGAGAGUAACUGGUAUCUGAUAUGCUAUACAAUUCAAAAUAUUUAUAUACAUUCCACAUUUAUAGGUGUGUGGGGGGGGUGUGUGAGAGAGAGACUGUUACAGGAAAUCCACACAAAGGCCUGUGUGGGGAUGUUUUUGAAAAAGCCAGCAUAAGCCUGCAUGGAAAGGGUUUUUUAAAAUUCUUGUUUUCUAGAUGGACAAAAGUGUCAAACGACAGAACUUUGAUUCCUUUUCAUCAUAGAAGUAUAAGCCCACUAGUAUUUAGAUUUCAACCGAAUCUGAAACCCCAUAUGGUAAAUUUUAGCCUAGAACAGUGGUUUUCAAACUUUAGGCUGCAUACCUCUUUCCAAAGGUAGUCUACCACAUACCCCUACCUAUGAUUAGAUUGCCAAGUCUUACUAAAUAAAAUGUGUUGUCUGCUCUUACAGGAUUUUUCCUUGCAUACCCCCGACGAGAGCUUGCAUACCCCAAUUUGAAAGCUAUUGGCCUAGAGAAAAACUGCUCAGUGCAAGCAAUGAUAUAAGGCUGGGCUGAUAUAAACAUUAAUAGUAGUAGUACCGAUGCAUUUAGAGAUGGUGGUUUAAAGUCAAGAUAAUGCUUAAUAGACCAACAUUCUGCUUCUAAUUAGUACAUUAAACAAAUGGGAUUACAAUGUUAUUUCAGUGACAUCACAAAAAACUUAGAGACUGAACAUAACUGUUUCUAAAGGAGUUAAUUUAAAUAAGGGCUGUAAUUAAUUGCAGUUAA
Molecule: long non-coding RNA, 1379 nt
Organism: Dermochelys coriacea (leatherback sea turtle)
Lineage: Eukaryota; Metazoa; Chordata; Testudines; Dermochelyidae
Exons: 3
Source: RefSeq, a predicted model, not a curated record